RNAcentral lists this long non-coding RNA (1519 nucleotides) under Heterocephalus glaber (naked mole-rat). Its description in RNAcentral is "lncRNA (ENSHGLG00100036815.1)". Lineage: Eukaryota; Metazoa; Chordata; Mammalia; Rodentia; Bathyergidae. The record is from RNAcentral.
CCUGACUUGUCCUGUAGAUGUACCCCUGCUGGUGUCUAGGUAGCUGGUACCUCACUAUUGACUGGCCCAGGCUGGAAAGCUGCUCUGUCCUCUGUCUUGAUGGCUGGUGAGGCCAAGUCCCAGUGAGCUGGGGAAAGUCAGGCUGUAUUUGCCUGCUCAAGUGGAGCCUGGCCCAGGCAGCAGGCGUUGAGCACCGCCAGCUUGACUGCCUAGUUCCCCUGCAGGGGAUGUAACCAGAAGACUUUCAGAGAGUCAGUACUGGGGACACUUGCCUCACUUCAAGGACAUCAGGACCUGACACUCAGGAGAGAGAGCUACAGACACCAUAUAUAUAGAGAAGGCAGUUGAGUGCAUAGGAGAUCACCUGAGAUCAUCCAGAGGAUGAGGAGGAAGCUCAGGGCACUGCCAUGAAGGAGAGACAUAUUUAAGGGAUGGCCAGAGAAAGAAGAUACUGCAAAAGAGGACAGAUCAUCUAGAGAGCAGGUUGCUCAGCAGGGUGGAGUCGCUGCCCUUCCCAUCCACGGACACCGAGUGCUCGCCCUUCUUCACCAGCAGGCAGACGUGGUGGCCCUGGAUGGAGCGGCUGUACAUGGAGGCGCAGGAGUCCACUCGCUCCACCAUAGAAAAGUGGUGGUGAAAACAUAUCUUUGCCAGAAGGUUCUGGAAGGACAUACUGAUGCCAUCGACUCUGACUGAGCUCAUGCUCAGGUCCCCAGACCCCAGCAGCUUGGCAAAGGCAUCACUGUAGCAGGUUCUGUGUCUUACCCUGGCAGUUCUGUGGGUCUCACAGUCAUGCAGCCUGAAGGAAUCGAUCUAUCGUCCAUCUCAUUAUUUUUAUUGGCUUCAUGAUUUCUCCCAGUAGAGGUGCACCAUAAUUCUAGAGAACAAUUCAAAUGCAGAAGAGCGCAAGAGAUCUGUCCACAUGCUAGAGACCUGAAGAAUCCAGCAGAGGGCCUGGAUCCUGUAAUGUCCUCCACAAGUCCCUCUGGAGGCCCUGAGCCCGCAGCAGUCUCAUGCAAGUCUGUAUCAAGGACCUGCACCGGAAGGUCCAAAGGCCGGUGGUGGAAGCUAGAAAGUCUGCACUGGCAGCGUGAAGGAUCUGCACUGGAGCCAGGAAGCGAGGCUCGAGGCAAAGAUCAGAGCUCCCUUGAAGAGAAGAAGCAAAGACCUGAGCUCCUCUAACAAGAACAGCUGAGUUCUUAUCAGGGAAACCAGCUAUGGCAAGCUUCUUCAGGAAAAUCAGCAGCAUACAAUCUUCCCUUCCAGUUCUCCUUUCAUGCCAUUGGGAACAAUCCUCAGGUGGGUCUUCAAUGCCCAGAACCAUGCUGACUCAGUUCAGCUGGGCGUUCCCACUUAAACAGACCAUUAGUUAAUCCAUCACAGCCUUCAUCCAUCUUCCUGUUGGGUUAGUCUAUAUUUACAGAACCGAAAGUAUUAAAUACAUUUUAAAUGACUUCUGACAUGAUGUCUUACUUAGAAAGGCCCACCUUUCUAAAAUACAAUAAUGCAAUCCUCCCUG